This is a non-coding RNA of Canis lupus familiaris (dog), 95 nucleotides long. Lineage: Eukaryota; Metazoa; Chordata; Mammalia; Carnivora; Canidae. The record is from Rfam.
AGGAGGAACAGCCCCAGUGGCGGGGCCAGCUCUGGAGCCCUGGAUUCAGCUCCGGCAGGAACUCCGUCUGCAGGGCCUGGAGGCUCCGGGGCGGG